CGCUAACGAGACCACAAGUUAUUUCUGCAGAGUUUUUAUCAAUAUCUUUCCUGUAUACAGCUUUUAUAUUUUUAUCGUAAGUAUUUAUAUUAAUUGUUGUGAUUACGUUAUCGUAUUUUAGAAAUGUGAGCAUAUCAUGUUGUUAUGAAAACUGUACUGAAAAGUUGAAAUUUUACACGUGAAAAAGGGGGAUGUUUAGGAUAAUCUAAUGAUUGACCUUAGGAACAGGACAGGAUCAGGAUAGCAUGUUACCAUUCCCAAAAUAUCUUGCAACGUCUCAUGAAUUUUUAUCAUUGACUAUUUGAAAUAAUACGAAUGAAUCAAAACUAAGAACCUCCCUUUACCAUCCUCGAAUAUGUCAAUUAGACAGAUAUCCAUGCCGCAGCACAAAUAUACAGAAAAAGACAUAAGUGGAUAAACCUUCAAUUUGUUCAAAUUAAAAUGUAGUAUUUAGGAUUUUCUUGCAGAUCAUAGCUUCUAGUCUAUCUAAAAGGAAAUGUAGUUGAGACUUCAAAGGACAACUGUUAUUUACUUUAGUUUUCACUGGUUCUUAUGCUUUUGAUUUAUACUUUAAAGUAAUAUCAAUUAUCAUUAUGAAGUUAUUAAUAGUUAAAUGUGUUGAACAGAAUUAAACUUGACACUGUUACAACUUUUGAUUUUGUAGAUGUCAUCAUGAAGACCUAGAUGAAAUCACGGAACAGCAAUUCAAGUGUCUGACAAAACAAUAAACUUUCUAAAAUUGGCUCCAAAAAGACCAGGUGUGAGAAAAAAGAAGUUGAAGUUUCACUAUUAAUAAAUAAAUUUAUUUUAA
Molecule: long non-coding RNA, 811 nt
Filed under: Mytilus galloprovincialis (Mediterranean mussel)
Lineage: Eukaryota; Metazoa; Mollusca; Bivalvia; Mytilida; Mytilidae
Source: RNAcentral